CGUGGAGACAGGUGGUGCAUGGCUGUCGUCAGCUCGUGUCGUGAGAUGUUGGGUUAAGUCCCGCAACGAGCGCAACCCUCACCCCUAGUUGCCACCGGGUAAAGCCGAGCACUCGAGGGGAACUGCCAGCGUCAAGCUGGAGGAAGGCGGGGAUGACGUCGAGUCAUCAUGCCCCUUACGCCCUGGGCUACACACGUGCUACAAUGGUCAGUACAAAGGGACGCGAGACCGCGAGGUGGAGCUAAUCCCAAAAAACUGGCCUAAGUUCAGAUCGCAGUCUGCAACUCGACUGCAUGAAGGAGGAAUCGCUAGUAAUCGCGCAUCAGCCCGGCGCGGUGAAUACGUUCCCGGGCCUUGUACACACCGCCCGUCACACCACGAAAGCUGUCUGUACUCGAAGUCGCUGAG
Molecule: ribosomal RNA, 408 nt
Filed under: uncultured Methylomirabilota bacterium
Lineage: Bacteria; Methylomirabilota (SeqCode)
Description: bacterial SSU rRNA
Rfam family: Bacterial small subunit ribosomal RNA
Source: RNAcentral